GCCUGGCUGGCUCAGUUAGUAGAGCGUGUGACUCUUGAUCUUGGGGUUGUGAGUUCGAACCCCACAUUGGGUG
This 73-nucleotide transfer RNA is filed under the name Ailuropoda melanoleuca (giant panda). It matches the Rfam family "tRNA". From Rfam's summary of the family: Transfer RNA (tRNA) molecules are approximately 80 nucleotides in length. Their secondary structure includes four short double-helical elements and three loops (D, anti-codon, and T loops). The record is from Rfam by way of RNAcentral. Lineage: Eukaryota; Metazoa; Chordata; Mammalia; Carnivora; Ursidae.